This 554-nucleotide long non-coding RNA is filed under the name Lathyrus oleraceus (garden pea). RNAcentral describes it as "Pisum sativum (pea) long non-coding RNA (PSAT_LNC016236)". The record is from RNAcentral. Lineage: Eukaryota; Viridiplantae; Streptophyta; Magnoliopsida; Fabales; Fabaceae.
UUAUUUCACCUUAUGCACUUUAUUCUUUUUUUUCCUUUUCCAUUCUUCAUCUCCUUUUUCUUUUUUUCUUUUUUUCUUUUUUUGAUCAAUGAGUUGAAGGUUAAUAAGUUAGCAUUGAUUAGGGAGACUUAAUCUUCCUUGAUUCAAAUAUAAUUCAUCUUGAUCAAUUGAUCAAGUGAAUGGCUUUGCAUUAAGGAUAGGUUGUUUCCUAAAUCAUGCAAAAGACUUAAACCAAUACAAGAUCAAUUCUCUUCUUCUUUUUGGCAUGGCAAGUUAUGGAGCUUGGUUCACUAAUCAAGACUUCUAACUUGUGUUGUUGCCUACAUUAUUAUUGACCGGCCUCAGAUAGUUGUGACUUCUACAUAAGUUCAAUUACGAUUGCUUAACAUAGCGCUAAAUUUUGCCUUAUGGCACACUAACUACUAACUAUUGACCACUAACGAUUAACAUUUACUUUUUGCAUUUUACUUUUAUGCAAUUUACUAUUCUUGCACAUAUUAUCCAUUUGCUUUUCCCUUUGCUCACUUGAGCACAUGUUUAUGUUAAUGUCAUUU